CGCAGUUUCCUACGGAUCCGAAAGUGGGGCGCGCUGAGGGAGGGUCACGGUGCUCUGCUUUCUAGUGCAAAUCUGUGCUGUUCCGUCCUCUUUAUUCCAGCCUCAGGGUGUGAGGGUCACUACAGACCUAAAAUCCCAGCACCCAGCUCUCCGCCAUGUAAAUCCAGACAUCGCUGCUCCAGAUCGGCCUUUAUGCUCUGAAGGCGUCCUCUUCACAGUCAACCCAUCCCUGACAUCGUGUAGGGGUAGGUAACCUGGACCAGCCAUAUGACACUCAGUGUUGUUUGGUUCCCAAAUCCCACCCAGCUGGAAAUGGUCUUUUCUGUUCCUUGCGAAGGGGAUCAGGAAAAGUAGAGAUAAAGGGCCACUGAGAGAGAGAGAGAGAGAGAAGGAGAAAAUGAGGGAGAACCAGUGGGAAUGUUGAGGAUGGUUCAGGAUCUUGCAGAGAGACAGUAAAAUGAAAGAGUGUUUACCCAUGAAUGUAGCCAAUGAAUAGAGAAGUGAAUAAAAAACCCGGAUCUGCACGGAUUGGAGAACAACAUAAGGAGAGGGGCGCUGGAUCAGCAUAGGAGUGGGGGUAACACCCGUGAGGCAUUUUACACAGAGAGUAGGUGUUACCGAGUGACACUUUGUGUGUCCAAGACACACUGAAGCCAAACAAACAGAAAUGGAGUUUGGAGCUGAGAAAGGUUUAUUGGGAGGCUGAGUAAGGAGUAAUAAAGAGAAAAUUUUAGAGAUUUUUUUUUUUUUUACUGUUUUUUAGUAUUUAAACUUUUUAGUCUUUGUUUUUUUGUUAUUUUUCUCUUAGUAUUUU
RNAcentral lists this long non-coding RNA (814 nucleotides) under Camelus dromedarius (Arabian camel). Its description in RNAcentral is "lncRNA (ENSCDRG00005001196.1)". The record is from RNAcentral. Lineage: Eukaryota; Metazoa; Chordata; Mammalia; Artiodactyla; Camelidae.